Long non-coding RNA from Prunus persica (peach), 1274 nucleotides. RefSeq lists it as uncharacterized. NCBI's taxonomy places the organism in Eukaryota, Viridiplantae, Streptophyta, Magnoliopsida, Rosales, Rosaceae. The record is from RefSeq and is a predicted model, not a curated record. The transcript has 7 exons.
UCACCAGAAAAAUUAAAUAAAUAAAUAUUCGUAAGAGCCAAUAGUAUGAGCAGGGCUGCAAUUUGACGGUCAAGAGAGACGAAGUUGGUAGAGUGACACGUGGCAUUAACCAAUUAGCCUCAUCUUCUGUCUCUGUCUUUACCAAAGAUGCCCCUCAAACCUCCUCAAAGAUUCCUUUGUUCACUCACCAAAUCUCUCUCUCUCUCUCUCUCCACUCUCAUCCUCCCCCUUCCUCCAAAACCCUAAUUCCCUGCACCUCCUCUUAUGGCAGCCCUAGACGCCUCUCCCUGUCCAAAUUCACCUCCUCACGUCCCCAACUUCCCUGUUCUGCUUCCAAGGAGGGUUCCUCCGGAGAUAACACCCCCAGCACUUUUUGUAUCAUAGAAGGGCCAGGACAACAUCAGGAGCAGGCGCAACAAGAUUUUCCUUCUCAUGGAAGAGCUAAGGAGAUUGCGGGUGCAGCACCCCACAAAGAUGGCGAAAGAUAUCGAUGAGGCUUGCGAGGAAGAGUAAAAUGAGAUGCUGGACAUUCCAUAAACUAUCCCUUUUCUCAAUCAUGUGACACCAAAGACAUUGAAGCAGCUCUACCUCACAAGUUUAUAAAUGAUAUCUACUGUAAUUGUAUUUGGGGGCCUUAUUGCACACACGUUAGGUUGAUCCCAUUCUGGCAUCUUUCUCGGGUGGGGCAGUGGGUGUUAUUUCAGCAUUGAUGUUGAUUGUAUUGAGCAACAAGAGAAGAAAAGGUGCAAAUACUGCCGCGGAAUUGGGUACUUGGCCUCUGCUAGAUGUUCCGCAACUGGUGUGUGCUUGAACAUCAAUCCUAUAUCAGAAUCUAGUGCAUCGGACCGCCCUUUGCGAGUUCCCACAACUGAGAGGUGUCAAAAUUGCUCUGGUGCUGGAAAGAUAUGGAGGUGGUGGAAAAACUUAUCAAUAAGGAACCGUGGAAGGGCACCCACAUUGUUGUGAAGACCAAACAAGAUGCCACAACUGCAACUAUUAAACGAAAGGCCAAAGAGCUUAAUUUAAAAGUCAUUGAAAGUGACGAUUGGAAGGACGCAAAGUAAGUCUCUUUUUUUGUGAGUAUUUAUUAUUUUCAUUUAGCUUAGUUAUGAAUAUUAUUAGAAUUAAUUUUGUAUUUAAUAUUGACUGAAUAGCACUGAAAGUUCUCUGGAAUCUGGGGGCGGAGACACUAGUGGGGAGAACUCCGACUCCAACGCCGGAACAAGAAACUGUGACUAGUAAUUUAAUUAUUAGUGGCUGUUAUGUAGUUUGAA